GACGAACGCUGGCGGCGUGCUUAACACAUGCAAGUCGAACGGAAAGGCACUGCUUUUGUGGGGUGCUCGAGUGGCGAACGGGGGAGUAACACGUGAGUAACCUGCCCUUGACUUUGGGAUAACUUCAGGAAACUGGGGCUAAUCCCGGAUAGGAGCUCCUGCUGCAUGGUGGGGGUUGGAAAGUUUCGGCGGUUGGGGAUGGACUCGCGGCUUAUCAGCUUGUUGGUGGGGUAGUGGCUUACCAAGGCUUUGACGGGUAGCCGGCCUGAGAGGGGGAACGGCCACAUUGGGACUGAGAGACGGACCAGAGUCCUACGGGAGGCAGCAGGGGGGAAUAUUACACAACGGGCGGAAGCCUGAUGCAGCAACGCCGCGUGCGGGAUGACGGCCUUCGGGGUGUAAACCGCUUUCGCCUGUGACGAAGCGUGAGUGACGGUAAUGGGUAAAGAAGCACCGGCUAACUACGUG
Molecule: ribosomal RNA, 468 nt
Filed under: uncultured bacterium
Lineage: Bacteria
Description: partial 16S ribosomal RNA
Rfam family: Bacterial small subunit ribosomal RNA
Source: RNAcentral